This 190-nucleotide transfer-messenger RNA is filed under the name Nitrospira sp. SB0662_bin_26. RNAcentral describes it as "partial transfer-messenger RNA". It matches the Rfam family "transfer-messenger RNA", at positions 181 to 374 of the family's 374-position model. Rfam says of the family: Bacterial tmRNA, also known as 10Sa RNA or SsrA, is named for its dual tRNA and mRNA-like properties. Its role is to liberate the mRNA from a stalled ribosome. Lineage: Bacteria; Pseudomonadati; Nitrospirota; Nitrospiria; Nitrospirales; Nitrospiraceae. The record is from RNAcentral.
AGGCGCUACUUCAGCAGGCUGGUCCAAUGUUGGUGCUCAGCAACGGCGGAUGAGACUUUUCUGGGCUAGCGAACGCUCUAAGCCGGUCAGUGGGCGUGGGCGGUUGCGAAUCCUAAAACAUUGACUACGCACGUAGGACCGUUGUGCUGAAUAUCUUCGGACAGGGGUUCAACUCCCCUCACCUCCACCA